AUCGCUUCUCGGCCUUUUGGCUAAGAUCAAGUGUAGUAUCAAAUGUUAUUUCCCUUCCCGGUUUGAAUUACUAUUUUUUAAUCAUGGAUAUAUGUGUGCCUUUGUAACAAUUACUUCAGCCCUUACAUUGGCUUUCUCUUGCCAGGUGCACUGAUGCAAAUAAUGAGACAAUCUAA
This is a small nuclear RNA of 176 nucleotides. Its record names the gene U2. It matches the Rfam family "U2 spliceosomal RNA". Rfam says of the family: U2 is a small nuclear RNA (snRNA) component of the spliceosome (involved in pre-mRNA splicing). Complementary binding between U2 snRNA (in an area lying towards the 5' end but 3' to hairpin I) and the branchpoint sequence (BPS) of the intron results the bulging out of an unpaired adenosine, on the BPS, which initiates a nucleophilic attack at the intronic 5' splice site, thus starting the first of two transesterification reactions that mediate splicing. The record is from Ensembl.